Callithrix jacchus (white-tufted-ear marmoset) is the source of this 1102-nucleotide long non-coding RNA. RefSeq lists it as uncharacterized. NCBI's taxonomy places the organism in Eukaryota, Metazoa, Chordata, Mammalia, Primates, Cebidae. The record is from RefSeq and is a predicted model, not a curated record.
UCUUGUGUUAUAUAAAACAUAUGUGGGUUGUUGAUUUUCAAUACGUCAUUUGAAAAAAAUAAAGAUUGGAUGUGCCAAAACACCCAACUAAAUAGUACUUAACAGCCCUUUCUGAAAAGAAAAGAAAACUCUUAAAUAUUUACGCAAAACCUAAUUACCAGUUUGCAAGCAUUUCAAGUGGUUGAAAAAGCAUAGGCCUGACAGGGAAGAAGUAGAGCAAGUAGACAUACUAUUUCCAGUAAACAAAGCAGAGGUCAGUGCCUUCUGAGGUCAUAAUCAAGAUAAAGAAUGCUUACAGAUGAUUUGCGUAGGUCUCAGGUUUGCCAUUCCUUCAUUCCCCUUAUUUGUAAUACGGGAAUGAAGAGAAGAGGAGAAAGAACAGAGGGAAUUGAGGCUAAGAAGUAAAGAAAAAAGUAAAGUCAUUUGGACCAAAAGGGUUGAGAACCCUGGGGCAGAGAGAAGAAGGACAUGAUAAUGUUCAAGGACUAAAGUAAGUCCAGAGCAGCUGGAACACGGGGCAAAGGUACCUUCAGCUUUUUUGCACCUAGAGAAGCUCCAAACCUGUAUCAUGAUCAUCCAUAUGCUGUGUGACCUUGCAUUAACUUAGGAAGACAGUUCUUCUCUAAGGUAAUCCCAGGGUUACCUGAAGUGUUUAGAAGAGCAACAGAUUCCUGGAAUCUUCUGAGUGCCAAAUGCCAAUUUCAACGUUCUACCCUGGAAAAAAUAGGACAAGAGGGAUUAGAAGUCUCCGGGACUACAUUCUGCCUCUGUACUUCCCAAGAUGGAGCUUCCUGGCUGCUGUUUCCUCCCACCCAAGAAUCGCCCCUCACCUCGGUCCAUGCCCCACUCCUAGAGUCUCCAUUUGAGAACAGGAAUGGAAUGGAGAGAAUGAAAGCCAAUCACUAGUCAUCCUUCAUUUGAAUUUUCUUUAUGACCAGGGCUGUUACUAUAGUGUUAUAUUUACUACAUUUUCUCAGCAAUUUUUAUGUUUUGUACCAUGUAUUUAGGGUCAUAUUUGCUUCUGGAAUUCUCAGUCCUUAUAAACCUGAAAACAAUCCAGCUUCAAAACCAUAAUACCUAUCAUUAAAACAAUUAUUAUAAU